AUAUUAUGUCGUGACAGGACAAAAUCCAGAGUAUGUACAGAAAAAAAUGGACACAAGAUUGGCAAGACAUCAAGUUGCUAGGAGAGACAAAUACAUUUGUACAAACAUCAAUCUUGACCAUGGAAUAGAAGCAUUCAUAAUUGAGGACGUACAUACAUACACCAAGAUAAGAGAAGGAUGAGAUUAUUCCUGACUGACUGACUCGCACACACUGUUUACCCUGAAUUUCUCAAGGACAAGAUAGCGCAAUGAAACUAAACUGGCUUACUGAUGAUGACGCGACGACGUACACUUGCUGGAAUUUUUGAAGCGAUUUCAAUCUCUCAUGGCGAUGACGGAUGGACGAGAUGAGAUUGAGGUUUUCAGUAGUCGGCGGUGGGGAGCUGCUCGUGGGGGCGCUGGCCGAUGAAGCAGAUGUCGUAGACGAGGGCGGCGAUGGCGGCGCCGGCGAAGGGGCCGAGCCAGUAGACCCAGUGGUUCUCCCAGACGCCGCUGACGACAGCGGGGCCGAAGGAGACGGCGGGGUUCAUGGAGGCGCCGUCGAAGGCGCCGCCGGCGAGGAUGUUGGCGCCGACGAUGAAGCCGAUGGCGAUGGGCGCGAUCACCCCGAGGUCGCCGCGCUUGGGGUCGACCGCGG
This 637-nucleotide long non-coding RNA is filed under the name Triticum aestivum (bread wheat). Its description in RNAcentral is "long non-coding RNA (TAES_LNC026558)". The record is from RNAcentral. Lineage: Eukaryota; Viridiplantae; Streptophyta; Magnoliopsida; Poales; Poaceae.